CCUACGGGUGGCAGCAGUGAGGAAUAUUGGUCAAUGGACGGAAGUCUGAACCAGCCAUGCCGCGUGCAGGAUGACGGCUCUAUGAGUUGUAAACUGCUUUUGUAUUAGGGUAAACACCCCUACGUGUAGGUGCUUGAAAGUAUAAUACGAAUAAGGAUCGGCUAACUCCGUGCCAGCAGCCGCGGUAAUACGGAGGAUCCAAGCGUUAUCCGGAUUUAUUGGGUUUAAAGGGUGCGUAGGCGGAUUUUUAAGUCAGCGGUAAAAUGUCCGGGCUCAACCCGGGCCGGCCGUUGAAACUGGGGAUCUUGAGUGGGCGAGAAGUAUGCGGAAUGCGUGGUGUAGCGGUGAAAUGCAUAGAUAUCACGCAGAACUCCGAUUGCGAAGGCAGCAUACCGGCGCCCGACUGACGCUGAGGCACGAAAGCGUGGGGAUCGAACAGGAUUAGAUACCCGAGUAGUC
This 459-nucleotide ribosomal RNA is filed under the name uncultured bacterium. RNAcentral's name for it is "partial 16S ribosomal RNA". It matches the Rfam family "Bacterial small subunit ribosomal RNA", at positions 338 to 795 of the family's 1533-position model. The record is from RNAcentral.